Molecule: long non-coding RNA, 775 nt
Filed under: Equus caballus (horse)
Lineage: Eukaryota; Metazoa; Chordata; Mammalia; Perissodactyla; Equidae
Description: lncRNA (ENSECAG00000039318.3)
Source: RNAcentral
AGCCACGCUGGUCCACUGCUGAGCCUGCGGCCACGCAAACAGGGUGGGAGCCAAGGGCGGAAGGCAGCAGCCGCGUCACGGCCGGGGAACCGAGGGGGGGCGCCCCCCUUCCAGCUUCUGCCACUAACAGAUCAGUAACCCCCGGCAUUGGUGUAACCAGCGCGCGCCCAAUGCAGUCGUAUUCCUCGAAUGCGCGCACCGCCCGCCACACUUGGAGAAUCCAGCCCACAGAGGUUUCGGAAACCCCAUUUUCCUGAUUGCAGCCCAGACUCUGGAACCCCGCAAGCCUUCCGGGGAAGCGAGCCCAAUCCAGACCAAGCAGACCUCUGGCGCUGCCGGGUUCGUACAACCACUAAAGCAGCGUCAUCUUGAGAGUUAUUUUGGGGAAAAAGACCUGGGACCUGGGUUUGAGUUAAAGACGUUAGAGGCAAGGGACAGAUGGCCCAGCAUUUCUUUGGAACGAGGCAGAACUGAGAACUACCCAGCUGGACCAGCAUUGCCGAAAACUGGAGAUUAGGAAAUGUAUUCUCCUCGCACACACAGUAGCACACAUCUCCUCCGACGGCGAGUUCACCCCUACGCCAGGGGCCUCUGGCUCCGCCGCUGCGUUUCCCAGACGCCCUUUCGGCCUUCUCCAGGUUUUGCCAGGCAAAUGAAACGAGCAGAACUCGAUGGUAAAUUAUUUUGUUCAGCCUUCCGUCUUUUUAUAAAAAUAAAAGGCAACACUUUGUCAUUUUUAAUCAUAUAAGCAGACAAUAAACCUAAUUUUGAUAUU